CCUCCACCUCAUUUAUCUUAGGUAAUCCACCACGACUUCUCCACUCAUCAAUCUCAUCAAGGGCUUCCUCAUAGUGUUGCCUUACUUCUGCCAAUUCCAGUUGACUAUCUUCUAGCUUUUGAUGCAUGACUUGGAUAGUCAAAGCCAUCUCCUUUAGUUAUUCACUAUGCUCCAAGUAGGGGUCAGCCAUCACACAUUGCAAAGUGCCUGGUG
This 213-nucleotide long non-coding RNA is filed under the name Sorghum bicolor (sorghum). Its description in RNAcentral is "long non-coding RNA (SBIC_LNC007776)". The record is from RNAcentral. Lineage: Eukaryota; Viridiplantae; Streptophyta; Magnoliopsida; Poales; Poaceae.